This 2038-nucleotide ribosomal RNA is filed under the name Triticum aestivum (bread wheat). Its description in RNAcentral is "partial small subunit ribosomal RNA". The record is from RNAcentral. Lineage: Eukaryota; Viridiplantae; Streptophyta; Magnoliopsida; Poales; Poaceae.
AUAUUGGCUGUGGGGUUGUGGAUUUGUGUUCUCUGACUCAAUAUCCCCUUGUAUUCCUCAUGCACUCACGAAACACCUUGCCCUGAAAUUUCAAAAGUGGAAAUCGAGUGGCGGAUCAACAUCGGAAGGAACCCAAACUAACCUUUUCAACGGUGAUUUCAUAUUUGUCCUUCCAACUCUGAUUUAGUAGUCUUUUCGUGCUGUAAAUUGCAGGUUUGGCAAGAAACUUCGGCUUAAUUUUUUUAAUAGUGAUCUUAGUAGUAUUUUCAUGCUGAAGAUUUCAGAUUUGAUAAGAUACUUUGACUUAAUAUUUUCUAUGGUUGUAUUCCAGAGAAAUAUUGAGGUGUGAAGUUAGUAUACGAGAUGAAGAAUAUCCACAUCAUCUGUAUUGGUAGUGUGCCAUUCUGAUUUUUGUUCCUGUCGGAUUUGCAGAUAGGUGCAGCGGGAGUGAUAGAAGUAGUGAGGUGUGAAGUUAGUAUACGAGAUAUAGGUGCUCCACACCAUGUGUAUUGUUGCGUAAACCUUCUCUGAUCACUUGAAGAUGGGGAAGAAAAAUCCAAAUGCACGUCGGUUUGCCUCAAGCGAACGUGCCCCGUCACUGGAUGUAACAAACUCACCUCUAAAUGCAAAUGCAGAGAGUAGUUCUGCUGCUCGACAGAAAGGUAACCAAUCAUGGUACACCAGAUUGUCUGAUGAAAAGAAAGCAGAGCUCCUCGAGAAGCGUCGUGUCGCCUGGCGUGAGAAGAAGACUGCAGCCGUACAAAGUGUAAACCAUGCCCGGGUAUCACAAGAACAUGCUUCUUCUGUGGGGUCUGAGCAAUUUGUCCCUUUGAGCAACAUCACCAACACACAUAUAGAUGUUGCAGUAUGUACGGCGGCAAGCUCCGCGGGUACUGCUCAUCUUCACCAAAACAAUAUUGCAGGCAAAAAAAGAAGUCCACAAAGUUGGUAUGCUGGACUAUCCGACGAGCGGCGAGCUGAGUACAUACACAAACAGAAGAUGGCCCGACUCGCAAGGAAAGCAGCAACUGCCGGGGUGAAUGUCCAAUUGCCUACAUCAUCUGCCUCGCAAACUUCAUCUGGUCCUUCUGUGUGUCGCUGCUGUCAGUCUCGGGCUUACUGCUUGGAGAACAGGAGGAGCGUCAGGGCUCUUUGCUGCAUCUGUGGGGGUACUGGCCAGAAGUAGGUGAGCUAAAAUACUAGGCCCCAUCUCUGCUUGAUCUGUUCAGCCAACUGAAUUUGUUCUCCUUACUUAUUUCUGUUUCUUUUGGUGUAUGUGAAGUGUUACAACUUUAUUUCCAUUGCUGCCAUCUUGCUUUUCGUGAGCUAAUUCUGUACAAUCAAGCUAUCGUUUACAGUAAUGAGUGGACAAUGGCCUGAUAGAGGUUUCGCUGCAAUGCAUGGUUAAGUGUUGUCCUACCUCCUAUCAGAGGUUAUUGCUGUCCAUAUUCCUAUGCAUAUGCUUUUAUUUUCAGGUUAUUGUUAUCCAUGUAUCACACAAGCUAAGGUGGUCACCUUUGAUCUAAUACCCGCGAGUCUUCUAUAUUGUCUUCAUCCUAUUCGUGCUAAAACAUACUCAGGGGCGAUCGCCCACCUGAACGAUUAAAUGGAUCAAUAUUCUGGACAUUACAAGUUGGGCCAGAGUGGGCCAUAUGGAGGUACAUCAAACAUAGGAAGGGUGGACAGGAGCAGGCACAAAAGGACCUACACCAAUGUACAAGGGGAUCAUGAUCUAGGAGAAGCGAGGCCUGGACAACAGGUGGUAGAGCAGCAUGCCUAAGAGAAGCACAAGUUACCACUACUAUUCAGCAAAUGACACAACCAGAUAUUUAUGGAUUUUCCUUAACUGUAAUGACUUCAUUUGUUCUUGAAAUGGAGAAUCUUAUGUAUGUCUCUUGCUAUCCAUGUGCCAGAGCCAUGAGUUGGUUGCGAGAUCUUAUGGGUUUCACCUUUAGCCUACCCCAACUUGUUUGGAACUAAAGGCUUUGUUGUUGUUUGUUGUUGAUGAAUUUUGCGAUGCAAUAUGUUUUGGAGACUG